This 6958-nucleotide long non-coding RNA is filed under the name Lotus japonicus. RNAcentral describes it as "long non-coding RNA (LJAP_LNC001081)". Lineage: Eukaryota; Viridiplantae; Streptophyta; Magnoliopsida; Fabales; Fabaceae. The record is from RNAcentral.
UUUGCGAGCUUGGAGAGCUUCUGAGAGGUUUGGUGAAUCCCGUAGCCGAUUUUGGAAGCUCUUUUGUUGAAUUCUGAUUGCAUAGCAACAGCGGAACGGUGUUCCUCCGAUCUGGAUGAGGAGGCGGUGGCGGUGGUGGUGGUGGCAGGUCCAUUGGGUCCAGAUCCUGAUUUCUUCAACCUCUCUGCAAUGUUUUGGAAUUCGUGUGUCCGAUCUCGGAAUGAGGACUGUGCCGAUUUCAUGGCUUCGCGGUGGGUUAAUGUUGAUCGUGCGGUGGUGCUCCGGUGAAGAAGAAAGAAAGGGAAACCCUAGAUCUGUCUAAUUGGGAUUGGAUUGCAUUUGGGAAUGAAGAUGAUGAUUCAUUGCGAGCGUUGUAGCAGUAGCUAGCUCGUUACUCUAUUUGGAACUUGAUCCUGUUCUCUGGUUAAUCGCUUAUUUGUGUUAAUUGUGCUUGUCAACAUGAAAUGAAUUGAAUUAAUCUUAGCUGAGCUUUGUCUUAAUCUGACAUAAAAAAUCAGAAGACUAUGGACAGUUAAUUUGAUUUAAAUUUUUAUAAUUUUUAAUGUACAUAAACAAAUUUAAGAACUUAAUUUCUCACUUUAUGUAUAUAUAAGCUUAGGGAACUUCCUUACUUUUGUUUUUGUUGACAAUGUUAGUUGUGUAUUUGAAUUAUAUUUGUUUAUCCAUGGCAGCAAUGGGCAUUAAAUUGACUUGUUUAAAGGAUAAAAAAAAGUUUUGACUUAUUUUAAGCACCAAAAAAUUACAAAUGGUUUAGUUUAAGAAAAAUAAAAGAGGGGAUAUAAAAAGAGUAAAAUACACUCACCCCCUUCAAGAUUUGCAAGAAUGACACUCCACUCCAUUCUUUUUAAAAAUCUACACUCCACCCCAUUUUUUAUAAAGGCAAAAUUUAGUGACGAAAACAAAUUCGUCACUACUAAAAACUAAUUACUAAUUAGUAAAAAUUUAAAUAAAUUUAAUGCAUAUACACUAUCAUACAUUAAUUUAUGAAAAUAAUUUUACUGAAUUAAAUUUAAAAAAACCAUCAAAUCUGUCUGUUAAGUCCACGUCUCAUCUAUCUCCAAAUCAUAUUUCUCACCACAAACGGCCACCACCAAGCCUUUACUCCCUUUAACACGGCUCCACUGUCCCACAAUGUGAAACCCCAUGGCACCACCAUGCCUCAAAGUUUUGUUGCGACCUGAACCCCAGAACGUGAAUCGCACAUCCCUAAAGCCACUUGUUCAACUACUUCUUGUGAAUUUCACCCCUUUAAGUUGUGAGCGAACGCUCUGUUGGUCUAAGAUAUUGUUGAAUUUUGUUAAAAACGAUGCUCCACCGCCUCGUUGGGCUCUAAUAACCUGAGAUCCACUUCAUAUUUUCAUAAUUUUGUUUCUCUAUUUUCUUCACCCAUUUGUGUUGCUUUUUUGGCCUACAACCCAAUUUUGAAAAUUGGAGGUAUAAAGAGAUUAUUUUGAUUAAAAUUGAAUUAUUACAAAAUAUGAAAACACAAGCAUGUUUCACUAUGUUCGAGAUAUGGUUUGUAAAUCGGGCAGGUGUGCUAUUGCAUAAUUUGCAUUGUGAAUUUACGGAGGAAAAACACGAUUGAGAGAAUGAGGAGGAUUGUGAUGUUUUCAUUUUUAAAUUUAUUGGAUUAUAUUGAAAUGUUUUUUUUGAAAUUAUUGAUUAACAAUUUAAAUAAUAACUAAUUAUUAAUGAAGAAUAUUUUUCGUCACUAAAUUUGCCUCUAUAUAAAAUGGGGUGGGAUGUAGAUUUUAGAUAAGAAUGGGGUAGAGUGUAAUUCUAACAAACCUUAAGGGGGUGAGUGUACUUUACUCAUAUAAAAAUAAAAAACGUUAUUGUUGUGUCGUUGAAGACUGCAGUGUCUAAAAUGGUCUUGGUCUAUCAUGGUCUUUAAUGGUCCAUGGAUGGAUCACAAUGUAAAAAAGUUUGAGAAAACUUUUCAAGAUUACCAAAAUAACCUCAAGAAUUAUCAUUUUCAAAAUUUCACCUGCUUGGUCCAAUCUUUCGUGAACCAUCUUCCGAUUACUAUCUAUUGUGCACAAAAGGCCACCAACUAUCCAUUGUGCUCAUAGAACCACCUCCCAACCUCUACGCGACACCUUCCCCUCCUUCAAUGCUCACAUUCAUUUCAUUAUCGUAUUCUUUCUUCCUCUCCUCUUCAACAUUAAUGAGGACAAGGCCCCAAUCGAGGUAGAAAGAACACAUAAUGGUCAAAACUUAUGUAGUGUAUCUCAUUUUGGUGUUUGGAAAAUAAUGCAACUAACUACAACCUGUAUUUGAAGAAUGGGGUGAAAUUAGGGGAUAGUGAUGUAGAAAAGGAAUAGAAGAGAAGAGAAAAUGAAGAGAACUUCAAGAAAGAUCGCACUAUCUGCACUCUACUUAGCAUCUCGAAUUGGGGCUGGUUCGCGGUCAGGUUGGUCACGAAGGGGAGGACAGGUGACGGAAGACGCGAUGGAGUGGGAGUAUCGUGUUGUGGUCCCAGUAGGCAGGAGGUGGUUGUCAAUCGAGAGUUUCACCUUCUUCUCCUUUCAAGGCUGAUGCUGCUCCGAAAAAGUUGUUGAAGUCAUCAAUGAUCGCAGGUGGUUCAAUGUCAGGAUCGGAGGGGGUGUUAAAAGUCAGGGACUCCAGUGGUGGUGUAGUGGUUUCCAGUAAGAUCAUGAAGGUGGGGAAAUAUUCUGUUUUAUGAUUAUUAUUUCAUAACGUUAUAGGGAAAAAUUUAUUAUGGACCACUUUUGUGUGGUCCAUAUUAAAUGCCUCCAACGUUAUAGUAGCACAAAGAAGGACAGAGGGAACAAUAUGCAACGCAUAAAGUAGAAUUUAACCUCGUUAUUUCGUCCAAAAAAAUAAAGUCCUCGUCAUAUGUAUUAAUAUACGUACAAGUUUGACAAAGAUAGAUAUUUGGAGAACUAAAUAUGAAUGAAAUACGGAAGAAGGUUUGACAUAAGUAAGAAAGCUCGUUUUCAUUUCAGUCAUUGGAAUGACUAUGCCACAAAAAAUAAGAAAACCAUAAGGAAAAAUAUUAAUACAAAGAAAAUCUUGAUCAUGAGCCACCUAUUAGAAGAUAUGCUGUUCAGAUACUUCAACAAAGCACCUUGCGCCCCCUCCACGUUUGCCAAUGUAUCAUCCAUGUUUUCAUCAAUCCUGCAAAUUCAAUACCUCUGUAAACCUCGCCAUUGUGACAAUUGGCCAAUAUGAAAGAAAAGAUCAAGCAAUUUCACCUUAUCAGCAGCAAUCAAAGUAUAUGUAUGAAAUUGUUCACACCAAAUUACAACUAGUUUUAUACUGUAAUCCUAGCAUAUGUGUAUCCACACAUCCCAAAACAUAUUCAACAAAUAAAUGACAAAAUCAGACACCCAAAAAAACUAACUAAAAACAGGCAUAAACAAGGAGGGAAGAGGAGAUUAAAGUGAACAUAAAAGAUUUUAUGCGCAACUCGGUCCCCAGACCAAAGAUGAAAGAGCAGGCUAAGUUUUAACUGUCACCAAAUACAUUGGAACCGGGAGGAAAUGUUUCUAUGGCAAGACCCCGUACAUACUGAAAGCAACAAAUAAGAUUGAGGAAUUAUAAAAGCAACACAAGGGAGGGCAAAGCACGGGUUCUAUGCAUACGAUUUAACUCCACUAAGGCACUAAGUGUAGAAGGUACUUUAUAGAAAACAAAGUGCAUGCGGACAACAACUGAUUAGAAGACAUCAAAGGUUCAGGUCUUUUUCAAGUGCAAGCACCAGAUUACUUGUUCAUGAAGUUACUAUGACAUCAUCUGUUUUUAUUUUCAUCAAAAGUUAUCCACCAAUACUUUAAAGCUUUAAACUUUUCCUUGUAUUUUAAAGGAGGCUAAAUUCUUAUAAAAGUCAUCUCUCUAGUCUCCACUCAAUAAGCACCAAAAUAACCAAUUUUAAGGGCAUGGCACUCACAACCCUAAAGUCAACAUGCAGUUAACAACCCAAUCAUCUCCAACAGACAAGAAACCCAGUCCACCUAGCUAAAUUCUUAUGCAAGACAUUUCUCUAGUAAGCACCAAAACAAGCAAUUCAAACAGAAUGGCAUCACAACCCUAUAGUAAAUACACAGUAAACAACCAAAUCAUCUUUAGGAACAGAUCCCCAUUAGGAAAGCUUACAUCACACGAGCCAAUGAAUCAAGUGCGCCAGCCCUUGAUAUAGUUGGGCAUAUUUACGAGGAUGCCUCUUUAGGAAUGUGGUUAGAGUAAUUAAAGAAUAAGACCUCUAUAAAUAGAAACAGAGAAUGUAAGGAAAGUAUUAGUUGGUCAAUUGGUUUUGGGUGGGAGAGGCCAAGCUCUCAAAUUGCUUGGAAAGACUACGUUUUAUCCCAUUCUUCCUCUUCUUGACCCUGGAUAACCGUUGAUGCAACAUUGGAGGAGAAUAUUCAAUAAAAGUUUCUUACUUUCUUUCUCUUGUAUUUUAAAUCAGUAUCUAUAAUCAUCUUAACUACAAACUUCUUGAAACUGGAAGUAUUUUGAUUAGUUAUCGAUAUUAACGUGAUUCAGAAGUACAAUAUUUAUAGACUAGGUUGUUAGAGGUUUGUAUAGCAACAUGAGUUCGACAUAUAAAUACCUGAUGGCAACCUCUCCUUGUUGGGAAACAAGUGUUGCUAGUUGAUUAAAAAUGUUGCUGAGCUCAUGAAUAGUGGACUCAACAUUCUGAAGUGCUUCUGCUCUGCUUUGCAUGUAACUGUCUUGUAAAGGAACUAUCUGUUGCUGCUGUUGCUGUUGUUGUUGCUGCUGUUGCAACAAUGGUUGACUCUCCCCAUCCACUUGCUUCCUGUAGAUUUAAAGCCAUGAAAGUUUUAAAUCAAAAAAAAAAAUGUCUGGAGCCAUAGUUCCAGAAAGAAUUUAAUCCAACCUGAAACAACCUUAAAAUAUUAAGCAUAGCAAAAGUUUUCAUUAUUAAAUAGGAAAGGAUCCACAAGUCAUGCUUGUAACUAGAGCUCUUAAUUUGGUCCCAGAUGCACAAUUUUUUUAGGAAGACCUGCCAUUUCAAUUCCAAUCCUCUUUGUCAGGCCAAGUCAUCCCAAUAAAGGAAAAUGGUCUGACAUUUUGAAUGAGCCUUCCUGCUUUUCUACAUGCAUUUUGGGCUAUCCUGUUUGACCAGCCAAUUUCCCUAGGCCGGGCCAAGUUUACUAGUCCUACAGUUUUCUCAGUCCAGGCUAGGGCAACAAAACAAGGUUUGACGAGACACCCUGUUUGACAGGCCUAGUUGUAAGCAAACAAGCAAAUGAAAUCCAUAAAUUAAUUUAAGUGAUUUAAUUAAUUAAUACAGUAAAGCAAAGGUUACGAACUUAUGUCUGUUCAAUGCUGUUAGAGUUCAUAGAAGUGAAAAGAUAGAGAAAAACUGUUUCUGAAGUGAUAAUUUCAUAUCUGAAUGAUUCUACAAUAUAUGAGUGGACAUAAAGCCUAACCAGGCUUGUUGCAAACUGCAGUUAUAAAGUAACUUCUCUAACAGAAUUCUAACCAAUACCUAAGUAACUCUAACUUAACAGUUCCAUAGCUCAGACUGCUCAGUACUGAUCACUCAUUACAACUCGAUGCAUAUUAUCUAUUUUUAUCUAUAUACUCUAUCUAACAAAUGCAAUCACAAAGGAGGGAGUAAAGACAUACUUUCCAAACUGAAAUUAAUAAAUAUGGGCCCAAUGGUGGUGCACUUGUGCCAAAAAGCAGCAAAUUUGAGUUCUAUUAUACUUCAAAUGACAAUUUGAGGAAGUCAAAUAAAACAAGGGUAUGUAGCUACGCUUUUGCUCAAUAUGAAUAGAUCAAUCUUCACUAGAAUCGCCAGUUCCUUUGAAUAAAAAUUAUGCACCUCAAUAGUCUAAUGGCAUACUACUACAAAUUAAGCGAUGAAGAAGCAGUAAUGCAGAUUAUCUAAUAAAUUAGUUUACCUGCAUUGCAUAAAAAAUCAGCAGGAAAACAACAAAGCGGUGCUUAACUAGAGCCUACAACGAAUCAACAAAAGAACAAAGAUAGAACAACACAACUUACUUAGGAAACAACUGGGAUGAAGAUUGCGAACCACUAGCCCAUGGAGGUGCAGGGGCAUCAGAAGAACUAGCAGCGGACCUCGUAGCUAAAGGUCGCUGACGGACAAAAGGGUUAGCAGAAUCUUUCGAGGCAGAGGCCGAAAACAAUUGUCUCCUACUCUCGUGUACUUUCAUGUUCUUCACAAAACACAACAACACAACAUCAUCAUCAGCCUCAGACAUGAAGGUGCAAAACAUCCACACAAAAAACACACCAAUACAGUACAUUAUCAUUACCUCAGUUCUCAUGGUGAGAACAUCUUUAAACUCCUUCGUGGCACCCAUCAACCGCGUCUUGAGGUCAUCUACAACCGUGGUGGAAUGACUAGUCGUGUCGGCAGAAGCAUUUCCACUCUCAUUCCUAGAAUUGCUGAGUAACUGAAGAUCAACAACCGCGGAGUUUAGCGCAGUAAUAUCCUGCUUAAUAACACUAGUAAGCUCUUGGAUUUCCAUGGUAGGGUCAUCGAAAACCGAAGUCCUUUUCGCCACUGCAAACCAUAACAAAUAGAAAGCUAAAGCUAUUGAUUGCAUUUGCAUAGUUCUAAAACAAUCACAUAAACUAGCAUUGAAUAGUCAGUGUUGAGAAAUAGUGAGUGAAUCAAUGGAAUUGGUUACAUUUUGCGAGCUUGGCGAGCUUCUGAGAGGUUUGGUGAAUGCCGUAACCGAUUUUGGAGGCUCUUUUGUUGAAUUCUGAUUGCAUAGCAAUGGCAGAACGGGGUUCCUCCGAUCUGGAUGAGGUGGUGGUGGUGGUGGCAGGUCCAUUGGGUCCAGAUCCUGAUUUCUUCAACCUCUCUGUGAUGCUGUGGAAUUCGUGCGUCCGAUCCCGAUACGAUGACUGCGCCGAUUUGACGUGCAUUUUCCCGGUUCAGGAAUUUUCACGGAGGGGAGAAUGGUGGCAAGGAAAG